UACAGAGGUCCCGAGCGUUGUUCGGAUUCACUGGGCGUAAAGGGUGCGUAGGUGGUGAGGUAAGUCGGAUGUGAAAUCUCCAAGCUCAACUUGGAAACUGCAUUGGAAACUACCUUGCUAGAGGAUUUGAGGGGGGAUUGGAAUACUUGGUGUAGCAGUGAAAUGCGUAGAGAUAUGGAGGAACACCAGUGGCGAAGGCGACUUUCUGGUCUGCAACUGACACUGAGGCGCGAAAGCGUGGGGAGCAAACAGG
Molecule: ribosomal RNA, 253 nt
Filed under: uncultured bacterium
Lineage: Bacteria
Description: partial 16S ribosomal RNA
Rfam family: Bacterial small subunit ribosomal RNA
Source: RNAcentral